RNAcentral lists this ribosomal RNA (195 nucleotides) under uncultured bacterium. RNAcentral's name for it is "partial 16S ribosomal RNA". It matches the Rfam family "Bacterial small subunit ribosomal RNA", at positions 1307 to 1500 of the family's 1533-position model. The record is from RNAcentral.
GAAAUUACGCCUGCAUGAAGCCGGAAUUGCUAGUAAUGGCAGGUCAGCAUACUGCCGUGAAUACGUUCCCGGGCCUUGUACACACCGCCCGUCACACCAUGAGAGUUGGGGAUACCCAAAGCCCGUGAGCCAACUGUAAAGAGGCAGCGGUCUAAGGUAGAAUCAAUGAUUGGGGUGAAGUCGUAACAAGGUAUC